AUUGAACGCUGGCGGCAGGCUUAACACAUGCAAGUCGAGCGGAGUGAUGGUGCUUGCACUAUCACUUAGCGGCGGACGGGUGAGUAAUGCUUAGGAAUCUGCCUAUUAGUGGGGGACAACAUCUCGAAAGGGAUGCUAAUACCGCAUACGUCCUACGGGAGAAAGCAGGGGAUCACUUGUGACCUUGCGCUAAUAGAUGAGCCUAAGUCGGAUUAGCUAGUUGGUGGGGUAAAGGCCUACCAAGGCGACGAUCUGUAGCGGGUCUGAGAGGAUGAUCCGCCACACUGGGACUGAGACACGGCCCAGACUCCUACGGGAGGCAGCAGUGGGGAAUAUUGGACAAUGGGGGGAACCCUGAUCCAGCCAUGCCGCGUGUGUGAAGAAGGCCUUAUGGUUGUAAAGCACUUUAAGCGAGGAGGAGGCUCUUUUGGUUAAUACCCAGAAUGAGUGGACGUUACUCGCAGAAUAAGCACCGGCUAACUCUGUGCCAGCCGCCGCCGUAA
Molecule: ribosomal RNA, 503 nt
Filed under: uncultured bacterium
Lineage: Bacteria
Description: partial 16S ribosomal RNA
Rfam family: Bacterial small subunit ribosomal RNA
Source: RNAcentral